AACGAACGCUGGCGGCAUGCCUAACACAUGCAAGUCGAACGAGACCUUCGGGUCUAGUGGCGCACGGGUGCGUAACGCGUGGGAACCUGCCCUUAGGUUCGGAAUAACUCCCCGAAAGGGGUGCUAAUACCGGAUAAUGUCUUCGGACCCAAGAUUUAUCGCCUUUGGAUGGGCCCGCGUUGGAUUAGCCGGUUGGUAGGGUCAAAGCCUACCAAGGCGACGAUCCAUAGCUGGUCGGAGAGGAUGAUCAGCCACACUGGGACUGAGACACGGCCCAGACUCCUACGGGAGGCAGCAGUGGGGAAUAUUGGACAAUGGGCGAAAGCCUGAUCCAGCAAUGCCGCGUGAGUGAUGAAGGCCUUAGGGUUGUAAAGCUCUUUUACCCGGGAUGAUAAUGACAGUACCGGGAGAAUAAGCUCCGGCUAACUCCGUG
This 433-nucleotide ribosomal RNA is filed under the name uncultured bacterium. RNAcentral describes it as "partial 16S ribosomal RNA". It matches the Rfam family "Bacterial small subunit ribosomal RNA", at positions 29 to 507 of the family's 1533-position model. The record is from RNAcentral.